UACGAAGGGUGCAACCGUUGCUCGGAAUCAUUGGGCGUAAAGCGCACGUAGGCGGCUUCGAAAGUCGGAUGUGAAAUCCCAUGGCUCAACCAUGGACGUGCACCCGAAACUGCGAGGCUUGAGUACUGAAGAGGAUCGCGGAAUUCCCGGUGUAGAGGUGAAAUUCGUAGAUAUCGGGAGGAACACCAGUGGCGAAGGCGGCGAUCUGGGCAGAUACUGACGCUGAGGUGCGAAAGCGUGGGGAGCAAACAGG
This 253-nucleotide ribosomal RNA is filed under the name uncultured bacterium. RNAcentral's name for it is "partial 16S ribosomal RNA". It matches the Rfam family "Bacterial small subunit ribosomal RNA", at positions 524 to 776 of the family's 1533-position model. The record is from RNAcentral.